Capitella teleta is the source of this 80-nucleotide non-coding RNA. The record is from Rfam. NCBI's taxonomy places the organism in Eukaryota, Metazoa, Annelida, Polychaeta, Capitellidae.
GCUUGGCUAAUAUCAGCUGGUAAUUCUGAGAUAACCCCGUGGCCAUAACAUGCUCAGGAUGCCGGCCGAUAUUGACCAAU